CAAUAUGUAUCAUAACAUUCAUUAAACAAAUCCACUUGGAUAUCUUAGAUAUGCCAUGAAUUUAAAUGUCUGAAGCUAAGUGCAACGUUUUUUCCAAUUAAAUCUGUUAUUUGUGUCAGAAAAGUUGUGCUACCUCGUUGCCCGAGUUGGAUACUUGAUAAUCAUUCUAAAGCUUGUUCUCUUCCUCUUUGCCAAAUUCACUUACUAAAUUCUGUGGAUUUUAUCCCUUGAGUAGCUCUUGCAUUUUCUUCUUAUUUCCAAUUCUUCUCCGUUAAAGUUAUCUACAACUCUUGCUCAAAUUAUUGCAACAUCCUACAUUCUUGUUCUCCCACUCACCUUAUUCCCAAACCCCACCUCUAGUUAUAUUCAGUUACUCAAAUAUAGUGAAUUGUUUUUGGCCCCUGAAAGUACUACAGAUUUGGCAGUGAGUUAGAUUGGGAAGUGAGUUACAGUGGUGGAUUCAGUAUUUAAUGCAUGAAACUUCUUUUAAUGAAUGUCGUUUAAAAAAAAAAAAAAAAAGCUACAGACUUUAUGAGAGAAUAAUUGAAGUGGAAACUUUUAUUCAUGGAUUUUCUCCUAAGUAAUGUGGCCACCAAUUCUUUGCUUUCUUUUAAAAAAUGUAAUUUCCAUUAGAUCAGUACACUUACGAGAAAAUGAUUUUUCCUAUGCAGAUAACUUUCUUUCUUGGAUUGUAUCAAUUGCACUAAUACAGCCAUUAGUUUGUCCUUUUAUUUACUGCUAUUGUUACCAUACCACGAUGAUGAAACUUUUUUUAUAGUGACGCUAAUCACAGAUUCUUUAAAACUUUUUAUGAAGUCUGUUUAUUAAUGAGUUAUUAUUUCUUUUUUUUCCUUCAGGUAGGAACUUAUGUUUCUUUUUGUAUAUGUUUUGUUGAAGGUACGCCUUGUAGAUGCAGGCUUUGUUUGGACUGAGCCCCAUUCUAAAAGACUUAAAGUUAAAUUGACUAUUCAAAAAGAGGUAAGUUAUACAUUAUUUUUUAAACAUGGUUAAAGUGCAGGAAAUGACAAUGAG
RNAcentral lists this long non-coding RNA (1032 nucleotides) under Marmota monax (woodchuck). The record is from RNAcentral. Lineage: Eukaryota; Metazoa; Chordata; Mammalia; Rodentia; Sciuridae.